UGUUUCCGUAGGUGAACCUGC
RNAcentral lists this ribosomal RNA (21 nucleotides) under Geotrichum candidum. RNAcentral describes it as "partial 18S ribosomal RNA". Lineage: Eukaryota; Fungi; Ascomycota; Dipodascomycetes; Dipodascales; Dipodascaceae. The record is from RNAcentral.